Molecule: ribosomal RNA, 495 nt
Filed under: uncultured bacterium
Lineage: Bacteria
Description: partial 16S ribosomal RNA
Rfam family: Bacterial small subunit ribosomal RNA
Source: RNAcentral
GACGAACGCUGGCGGCGUGCCUAAUACAUGCAAGUCGAACGCUGAAGGAGGAGCUUGCUUCUCUGGAUGAGUUGCGAACGGGUGAGUAACGCGUAGGUAACCUGCCUGGUAGCGGGGGAUAACUAUUGGAAACGAUAGCUAAUACCGCAUAAUAGUAGAUGUUGCAUGACAUUUGCUUAAAAGGUGCAAUUGCAUCACUACCAGAUGGCCCUGCGUUGUAUUAGCUAGUUGGUGAGGUAACGGCUCACCAAGGCAACGAUACAUAGCCGACCUGAGAGGGUGAUCGGCCACACUGGGACUGAGACACGGCCCAGACUCCUACGGGAGGCAGCAGUAGGGAAUCUUCGGCAAUGGACGGAAGGCUGACCGAGCAACGCCGCGUGAGUGAAGAAGGUUGUCGGAUCGUAAAGCUCUGUUGUAAGAGAAGAACGAGUGUGAGAGUGGAAAGUUCACACUGUGACGGUAUCUUACCAGAAAGGGACGGCUAACUACGUG